ACUAUUGUUGUUGCAGCAAAUAUGUGGCUCUCAAGAAGUGUUAGGGUUUCUCUUCUUCCUUCCAUUGCCAAGUUUCCUCCAUUUCUUCCAAUCCACAAUUCCCUCUUUUGCUCUCACUCUCACCCUCAGACUUCCUUACACGACGAAGCCGUCUCACAAUUCAAUCGCUUGCUUCAUCAGCGUCAUGUUCCUCCCAUCUUCGAAUUUGGAAAGAUUUUGGGAUUUCUUGUGAGGGUGAAGCGCUACCCUACUGCUAUUUCUCUCAUUCAGCAAAUGGAGCUCAAGGGAAUUCACAAUAACUUUGUUAAUCUCAGUCUCCUCAUCAAUUGUUUCUGUCACUUAAACCAAUUGCCUUUUGCUUUCUCUGUAUUUGUCAAGAUUCUCAAAAGGGGUUAUCAUCCAAAUGCCAUAACCUUAAAUACACUCAUGAGAGGUCUAUGUGAUAACGGUGAGGUUAAGGAAGCCCUCAAUUUUCACGAUAAAGUAGUAGCACUAGGAUUUCGGCUCAACCAAUUUACUUAUGGGAUAUUGAUCAAUGGAUUGAGCAAAAUAGGUGAAACUGAAGCCGCCAUCGAAUUGCUCCGAAAGAUUCAAGGUCCAUCAACGGUAAUGUAUAACAUUAUUAUUGAUUCUUUAUUAAAAGAGAAACGUCCAAAAGAAGCUUAUGAUUUCUAUUCCGAGAUGGUUAUCAAAGGAAUUUCUCUUAAUCUUGUUAAUUAUAAUACUCUAAUUUAUGGCUUUUGCUUAGUGGGACAGGUAGAGGUAGCAUUUGGUUUUCUAAAUGAAAUGGUAUCAAAUAGCAUUAGGCCAAAUGUUUAUACCUAUAAUAUAUUGAUUGAUGCAUUAUGUAAGGAAAGAAAGUUAGGAGAAGCCAAGAAUGUGUUAGGUGUGAUGGUGAAAGAUUACGUGAAACCUGAUGUUUUUAGCUUUAAUGCUCUAAUGGAUGGGUAUUACGUAGUUAAUAAAGUGAAAAAUGCGAAACAAAUAUUCAGUGCAAUGACCCACAUGGGAGUGAGUCCUAAUGUUUGGACCUACACUAUCAUGAUAAAUGGACUCAUAAGGAACGAAAGGGUGGAUGAGGCCAUAAAUCUUUUUCAGGAAAUGCAGAACAGGAAUAUAAUUCCAAAUACUGUGACUUAUAAUACUCUUAUUGAUGGUUUAUGCAAAACUGGAAGAAUCUCUCAUGCUUGGGAUCUUUUUCAUGAGAUGCAUGGUAGAAAUCAACAAGCAGAUGUAAUCAUGUAUAAUUCUUUGAUUGAUGGUUUAUGCAAAAAUCAACAUCUAGACAAGGCAAUUGAAUUAUUGAGGAAAAUGAGAGAGAAUGGAAUUCAGCCCGAUAUGUGCACUGCAACCAUAGUUAUUGAUGGCAUGUGUAAAGGGGGGAGACUUAAAAAUGCACGAGAGAUUUUUCAAGAUUUAUUGAAUAAAGGUCACAGUCCCGACAUCCCUACUUAUAAUGUUAUGAUCAGUGGUCUUUGUAAGCAGGGUUUGCUUGAUGAAGCAUUGACCUUGUGGUCCAAAAUGGAAGACAGUGGUUGCUUAUCUAAUGUUAUAACUUUUCAAAUAAUCAUCUCUGCUCUGUUUAAGAACAAAGAGACUGAAAAGGCAGAGAAAUUUUUUUAUGAAAUGAUCUCGAGAGACUUGUUGAAUUGAUGAAAGGUGACACCUUAUUUGAAUAACAAUGUGUUUGUCAUAGAAUGUGCAUGAAUGAUUUGUAAUUUUGUAUUAGAUGAGUUGGUUUAGGUUGUAACCUCUGCUGCUGAUGUUUUCUUGGUCAAGGGUUGAUACAUUAUUAUUUUUUACUUUGCAUUUGGGAUUGCUAUCAAACUUCUAUUUUCUUUGACAUUACAUUUUAUUUGUAGAGUUUGUUUAACUGAUUAGUACAAAGGUGAAAUCAAUGAUUUUAUUUCCAAUUGUUUGAUAUUUUCCAUUGAUGUUUGUCAGAGACCAAAUAUGUUUUUAAUCUCGGCAAUAAUCAUCAUCAUGGUUCAAUACCACAAGAACUUGGUAAUUUAGCACAAUUGGAUACAUUGUCUCUCCAUAAUAAUUGCCUAACUGGUUCAAUCUAUUGUACAUUAGGUCUAUUGAAGAAUGUGGUCAGAUUUUAUGUUGAUUCAAACCAAUUUGCAGAUAUAUAACUUGGAAAUUUGACGCAAUUAAUGGAAUUACAUCUAUCAAAUAAUUUACUCACAAGUUCAAUCCUUUCUGCAUUGGGCGAAUAAGAGAAGUUGAUUAUUUUGUACUUUCAAAACAGUAAAAACGAAAUUGUCAAUUUAACUGUAUGAGUGUUCUUAUUGAAAAAAUCAAGUUGUCAAUUUAACUGUAUGAAACUUGUGAUCUAACAUAAAAGUUACUUGAAGCUGUUUUAAUAUACCAAAAUCAGUGAAUUUUGAAGCUUAGCUGAGUAACAACACUAAAAAAGUAACAGAACAUGGACUUAUGGAUGGUGGGGUGGUCUUGUUCUGGUAUUAUUAUUGACUAAUAUAUGUGGUUACAUUAUGAUUGAUGUUUGGUUGGAUAUCAGGUUUCUGGAAUGGACAAGAAGUACUGGUUCAUUCCUUCAUAUUCAGAUGAGGAUAUAUCCCAAAGAUACAAGCUCUACAAGGUCUUGACUAUCCUUCAAAACCUGACUUUGAUUCCCAAUAUUUAUAAUAAUGAAAUGUUAAAACUUACAUCUUCCUUCUAAGUGAUAUCCUUUAAAUGAGUGGAUUUUUUUCAUGCUAUUCCAAAUUUUACUUUCAAAUUUUAGAAAGUUUAUCCGUGUACAUCUAAAUUAAUAAGGAUAAACAAAAAAAUUUCUAUUAUUAUCCUACUCAUCUAUCACCCAUUUUUACUUUCACUUUUCUUGACCUAAACUUAGCGGCAUCUUCUUUUCGUGCUUCUUUCAUCUUUGUUCAUCUCCACCCAACUUUUUGUACCGAAUUUUGUCUUGCUCUUUUCUUUCUUAACUCUUUACUUCAAUACAUCGUUUGUUCAAUUAUUUUUGUUUAUAAUAGUUUAGUAUAGUUUAAAUGAAGGUAGAAAUAGGAUGGAGCCUUUAAUAGAAUUUUGAAAUCUGAUAUAUAUUC
RNA transcript from Vigna radiata var. radiata (mung bean), 3068 nucleotides. It is a transcript of the gene named pentatricopeptide repeat-containing protein At1g12300, mitochondrial, with no coding region annotated. The record is from RefSeq and is a predicted model, not a curated record. NCBI's taxonomy places the organism in Eukaryota, Viridiplantae, Streptophyta, Magnoliopsida, Fabales, Fabaceae. The transcript is spliced from 2 exons.